Long non-coding RNA from Hylaeus anthracinus, 2925 nucleotides. RefSeq lists it as uncharacterized. The record is from RefSeq and is a predicted model, not a curated record. NCBI's taxonomy places the organism in Eukaryota, Metazoa, Arthropoda, Insecta, Hymenoptera, Colletidae. The transcript has 3 exons.
AAUAGCCUUUCGAACGUGCUCUAUUCUCGAUUAGUGGGGCAGCAAAAAGUUCGCGAAUCGUAUUAGAUGAACGUCGGGGGACGCGAAAGAAGCGGCCAAGAGAAUUAGAUUGCGAGAGUCGUUAAAAUGAUUCUGCGAUUCGAAGGAGCUGCACCCUUAGGAGCGGAACGACGAGGGAGAUGGAGAGCAUUCGCGAAAGCACGACGGAGCGAGAGGACCAGACCCGGGACAACCAAGACAAGGGUAGAAAAGCUGGCGUGUCAUGGGGGGCGCGGAUGAACCCAUGUACUACUUAGGGAUGACAUCUAACUGUGGAUGUCGGGCAACGUACUUAUGAGACUUUAAAAGUUACGGUUUCACUUUGACAAGAUCCAAGAUUAAUGGAUGUUGCAGGACUGUUAGCAAACUAUUGACGUCACGUCGAUACACGUGGGAAUUCGGGCCAGCUUCGUCAGAAAACCGCGCUGAGAGCGAGCCCGGCCGACGAGGAAAGAAAGGAAGGCUCGUGGCAGAAUUUCCGGCCGGGUGGGCAGCUCGCGAGGGGGAGAGUUUCGAUCGGUAGACCGAUUCGAGAGGGUGAGCCCGAAGGAAGGUUCGCUAACGCGUCCUUUCGCGAACUCCGCCCGUAAUAGGGGCCACAGACGCGACGACUUAUCGUACGAUCGCUCGACGCGACAAGGUGCAACGAUAGUCGUACGUCGAUUUUCCCACAGACGUAAUGACCUGCCGCUGAAGGAGUAUGUUUACCGUCAUCGUUAUUAUUACACGUGUAAAAGGGCGGAUGUACCGCGAAAGCAACGAAGCUUGGGAGGAAUAAGACCUCCUCGUUUAACAACAAAGUAGCAGUGGAUAUAUUGAAUUUAUACGUUGCGUUCCAAGUUCGUAUGUCCACGCGAUUAAUACCAGUAAACGCACCGUACAACAUCGCGAUUCCAGAUACGGCUAGGCACGUCUUGGAUUUCCAGCAGAAACAUAAAAUUGAAGUAGUUUGAGAUUAUCUGGGGUCGUGAUGCAACCGUGCAGCACCUUGCGUACAAGCAAUAUAUAUGAAACGUCACUCUCCGUUUCUCAAGAGUCAUUAAAGCUGAACAAGCACGAGUAGAACGAUCAAUAUUGCGCAUUUUGAAACCUUAAUUUAUUACGACGUAGUUAUGACAGAAAAUAAUUUGAGCCUAUAGUCUUCCAUCGUCCUAUGUGCGAUACAGUAAGAUCACGAACAUCGACGAAACCUUCCACCGCGUAUUAAUACUUGGAGCGUGUUGCACCACGCCGAUUCUCUCGAUUUCGUUCACCUCUUUUCAGCACCGGUGCUCGAAAAGGACCCCGAGAGCUCCAUCGACGGAGUGCCCCGACGACCACCCCAGGUCGGUCAGCGAAAAAAAAAAAAAAAUAUCGGUUUAUCGAGGAAACCGUAAAAGCAGUCGAGCAAUAUCGGAGCAGCGUAAACCUCGCGGUCGUCCUUCCACGAGAGCUCGGCUCUCCUUUUACGGCGUGGAAGGUCGAAACGGAAAAAAGCGGUUCGUGGAAGGCGUCUAUGCCCGAUCCCCGCUCGACCGCUGCCGGAGUCGGCCACUUUGUCGGCGAGUUUAUUAUUCGUAACGGAGAAUUCGAGAGGAUCGACUGGAUUAUCGUUGGAUGCUCUCUGCUUCCCUCGCUAGAAGCCCGCGACGCACCGAAGUCCUCCUUCUCCCGGUCCUCUCUUCGUGUUGGUUCGCAGCUCGCCGAUCUCUCGACGUCGACCGAUUCGGAACCACUCGGACGGAUCGAGGAAGCGAAACGAGCUCGCGCGUUCGCGAGCGACUAGCGCGACCUUUCCCAAUCGAACGCACGAGUUCCUUUCUCGAAGACGGCUUUCAGCGAUGCAUCCUUAGGCUAGCGUGUAGCCUAACAAGUAGCAUUUGUUGGUCAGGAAUAUAGUUUACCAAGUUUGUAGUAUUUUCAGUACCGAGACCCAAGUUCAGUUUUUAAGAUAGCUUUCGAAGCACCGAGGCUGUUUUCUUUGUAGAUCCUUUAUAAAGGCCUAAAGACGUCAUCGUCGCGACGCCCCGGUGGUCUGGCUCUUUUCUUUCCCCGUGGUGACUUCACCUCGUCGUCCCUGUUUCCCACGGGAGGAACGAAAGGGGAAAACGCACGAGCGACCUAACCAGCGAGAGCGACCAAUCGUCGAGAUUUACGAGCGGAUCUGCGCGAGCUUCGCAUUCUCCGCGUUCUAUCGGCGAACGAAUCUCGAAGCUCGCGCGGGUCGCCCUUCGAUCGUCGCGUCGGUUCCAAUCGCGUCUUGAGAGAGGAAAACGAUCAGAGCCUCGACAAAAAGCGCGAUUGCCACCGUCUCGUUUCAGCUUCUUCGGUGGUUUCUUGCCAGACACCGGGAAGCUUCCAAUCCGUACGCGACCAGCUAUGGCGCGAGGUUACCGCGAUUGUAGCGAGGACAGAAGUACGCAAUCGAUAGGAAAGAGUUUAGAUAGGAUAGGAAGAGAUCUUGUGGAAAAUCAAUUUUAUAUACCGUGACAUCUUGAGGAUGGUGGAUGGGUAUAUGUAGUUUUUUAAUGAAAAUUAAGUGUAGUAACGAAAAUGUUAGUGUUUGUAGGCACAUCGCACGCGCGUACUCUUUGGGGGUUGUUCCAAAAAAGAUAAGACCACGAGGGACUUGCAGGUUACUAUUCCAUUCAAAUUUAUUAUAUUUCUUCUAACAUAUUCUUCUCCUAACCAUCUUAAACGUACUGUAGGCUGGUCUCUAACAAACUAUGGAAUCCUGCCCAUCGAAAGCCGAACAACAGAAAAAAGAAUAACCCAAUUCCAGAGUAGAAUCCUCCCUCGAGCAGUCCCACACACGCAGAGGAUUAUUGAAGGUACACUCGCGGGUUUGAUCGACCGUCUUUCAAGUUGGGCCUUCCGGCAGCUCUCCAACUGAACCUCGACCGCGGA